CCUACGGGAGGCAGCAGUGGGGAAUUUUGGACAAUGGGCGAAAGCCUGAUCCAGCCAUGCCGCGUGCAGGAUGAAGGCCUUCGGGUUGUAAACUGCUUUUGUACGGAACGAAAAGGUCUUUUCUAAUAAAGAAGGCUCAUGACGGUACCGUAAGAAUAAGCACCGGCUAACUACGUGCCAGCAGCCGCGGUAAUACGUAGGGUGCGAGCGUUAAUCGGAAUUACUGGGCGUAAAGCGUGCGCAGGCGGUUAUAUAAGACAGUUGUGAAAUCCCCGGGCUCAACCUGGGAACUGCAUCUGUGACUGUAUAGCUAGAGUACGGUAGAGGGGGAUGGAAUUCCGCGUGUAGCAGUGAAAUGCGUAGAUAUGCGGAGGAACACCGAUGGCGAAGGCAAUCCCCUGGACCUGUACUGACGCUCAUGCACGAAAGCGUGGGGAGCAAACAGGAUUAGAUACCCUGGUAGUCCACGCCCUAAACGAUGUCAACUGGUUGUUGGGUCUUCACUGACUCAGUAACGAAGCUAACGCGUGAAGUUGACCGCCUGGGGAGUACGGCCGCAAGGUUGAAACUUAAAUGAAUUGACCGGNUGAGAGNGCGAGACGACGACGAGGGAGGAGG
Molecule: ribosomal RNA, 618 nt
Filed under: uncultured bacterium
Lineage: Bacteria
Description: bacterial SSU rRNA
Rfam family: Bacterial small subunit ribosomal RNA
Source: RNAcentral